Molecule: long non-coding RNA, 904 nt
Filed under: Mytilus galloprovincialis (Mediterranean mussel)
Lineage: Eukaryota; Metazoa; Mollusca; Bivalvia; Mytilida; Mytilidae
Source: RNAcentral
UUUUGUUCUGAUUAUUAUUAUUAUUAUUAGGUCUUUCCACCUUUCCGUGGAAAGACAUAUAGGUUUUGUUCUGAUUAUUAGGUCUUUCCACCUUUCCGUGGAAAGACCUAUAGGGUUUGUUCUGAUUAUUAUUAGGUCUUUCCACUUUUCCGUGGAAAGACCUAUUGUAUUUGUUCUGAUUAUUAUUAUUAGGUCUUUCCACCUUUCCGUGGAAAGACCUAUAGGGUUUGUUCUGAUUAUUAUUAUUUUUUUUUUUCUUCCGCCUAAUUUUUUUCUUGCGUAGUAUUGAUGUUUCAAAAGAUGUCGCUUAGAUAUUUGGAAUAUGAUAUCGUAUAGUUUAUACGCUUUAAAAAUUUACAACCGCGUAACAAAAUACUUUACGUUGUAAGAGUUAUCUCCCCAAACACUGUUUUUCUUGUGGCCACUACUCCUUCGCAACCGUUAAAGAUUACGACAAAUUUAUUUUACCAAAUUGCUCGUUACAUCUUCAGGAUUAGGAUAUUCAUUUGGACCGAAGCUUUAUGGAGACUCCAAAUGAGAGUUAUUCCCCCUUUUCCAUUUAAUUAAGUGAUAUGCAUUUCUAAAUGGCAAACCAUAAGUGAUAGAGACAUAGGGUCUUUAGAUUUGAAGUCCUUGGUCCAAAAAAAUAAAAAAUAGGUCAAGGUCAAAGGUCAAGGUCAUAUUCUAAAUUUUGAUUUUGGCUUAUUUUCACUUAUUUCAAAUACCGUAUGACAUUUCGACAAAUAUUUUUUCAUAAAUUGUUAGUUGCGACAUGUCCAUUACUUGUAUAUUUUGGUUAAAGGGUGCGCAGCCCAUAAAUUGGAGUUUUUGUCCAUCUUACAUUUAGAAUUACGUGUAAAGUGAUAUUACUCAUUAACCAAACAUAUUAAAGACCUAGGGUCUU